RNAcentral lists this ribosomal RNA (253 nucleotides) under uncultured bacterium. RNAcentral's name for it is "partial 16S ribosomal RNA". It matches the Rfam family "Bacterial small subunit ribosomal RNA", at positions 524 to 776 of the family's 1533-position model. The record is from RNAcentral.
UACGGAGGGCUCAACCGUUGUUCGGAUUCAUUGGGCGUAAAGGGCGCGUAGGCGGUCGCGUAAGUCCGGUGUGAAAUCCCGGGGCUCAACCCCGGAACUGCAUUUGAUACUGCGUGGCUUGGGUACGGGAGAGGAGACUGGAAUUUACGGUGUAGCAGUGAAAUGCGUAGAUAUCGUAAGGAAGACCAGUGGCGAAGGCGAGUCUCUGGACAGUUACCGACGCUGAGGCACGAAGGUCAGGGGAGCAAACGGG